This 510-nucleotide long non-coding RNA is filed under the name Malus domestica (apple). RNAcentral's name for it is "long non-coding RNA (MDOM_LNC004644)". Lineage: Eukaryota; Viridiplantae; Streptophyta; Magnoliopsida; Rosales; Rosaceae. The record is from RNAcentral.
CUGAGGAUCUGCUUAAGUUUUCCUUCAAGAAAGCUGUUGGUGGAACAGUUGAGGAUUAGGCUGCCAAGGUAGGUGUGGCCGAAGGUUGUGUCACCCAGGUAGGGGCGGCUAGUGACAGUGAUGCUCAGGAUAGGGGCAGCUGUAGAUGAGGUUGAUCCUGCUGGGAGCGAUGCGGCUGCUGAAGAUGUCCAAGCUGAUGAGGAGUAGUCUUUUUAGAUAGACUUUAAGAUUUACUUUCUUUUCCUUUCAUGCUUUCCUUUUUUCUUUGCUUGAACUCUGUUUGCCUUCAUGCCAGUUUACCAAUUUGCUAGAAAUUAAUAAACUGUUUUUCUUCGCUUUACUUCAUCCUUAUCUCUUUGUCUUGCUUUAAGCUUCUGUCAUAAAAUGAAUAAUUGAGCAAGCUGCUUUGAACAAAGCAGUCAAGCCCAUCUUUAUUGCUUUAGGUGCCAACUGCAGGUUAUCGGGUGUGAAUCUUCACUUGCUUGAGGCAUCUUUUGAAACUUCUAACUU